This 236-nucleotide long non-coding RNA is filed under the name Elaeis guineensis (African oil palm). RNAcentral's name for it is "long non-coding RNA (EGUI_LNC033309)". Lineage: Eukaryota; Viridiplantae; Streptophyta; Magnoliopsida; Arecales; Arecaceae. The record is from RNAcentral.
AAUUUGAUGAUUAUAAAGUAUUUGAGGGGGUUACUAAUGAUUUUGACUUGAAAAAAGAUUUAUUGUAUUUAGGGAUAAAAUCAUAAUUUUAUCAAAUUUUGAUUCGGAAGCCUCAAGAGCAAGAACACAAGAUUUGUAAUCUAUUGGAGGUAAUUUUAAUAUUUUUGAAUAUGUAUUUUGAAAGAAAAUCAUAUUUAUAUAUUUGAGUCGACCUCAUGAGUCGACUCAUGGCAAAA